This 432-nucleotide ribosomal RNA is filed under the name uncultured bacterium. RNAcentral's name for it is "partial 16S ribosomal RNA". It matches the Rfam family "Bacterial small subunit ribosomal RNA", at positions 29 to 507 of the family's 1533-position model. The record is from RNAcentral.
AACGAACGCUGGCGGCAUGCCUAACACAUGCAAGUCGAACGAGACCUUCGGGUCUAGUGGCGCACGGGUGCGUAACGCGUGGGAACCUGCCCUUAGGUUCGGAAUAACUCCCCGAAAGGGGUGCUAAUACCGGAUAAUGUCUUCGGACCAAAGAUUUAUCGCCUUUGGAUGGGCCCGCGUUGGAUUAGCUAGUUGGUAGGGUAAAAGCCUACCAAGGCGACGAUCCAUAGCUGGUCUGAGAGGAUGAUCAGCCACACUGGGACUGAGACACGGCCCAGACUCCUACGGGAGGCAGCAGUGGGGAAUAUUGGACAAUGGGCGAAAGCCUGAUCCAGCAAUGCCGCGUGAGUGAUGAAGGCCUUAGGGUUGUAAAGCUCCUUUACCCGGGAUGAUAAUGACAGUACCGGGAGAAUAAGCUCCGCUAACUCCGUG